GCUGGCCAUUAAAAGCAACGCAGCUUGAAGGGUGUUGACUUCUUUGGACGACUUUUCGACACCGAAGAGGCCAAAUGGUUGCGCGUUGUCGUGACUGAGCAAAGCGGCGGGGGCCAAGCAGACUGACUCCAUUAACGGCAAGGAUCCGGUCUCCCGGCUGCAGCUUCUCACAGCGGGCUGCUGGUGUGUUGGGAACCACUGCCCUGAUGAAGAUGCCUUUCACCUUCAAUGACAUCUCCUGCAAAAGGAGGUCCAACUAUGAGCCACACUAAAACUGCUUUCACUGACGGCCAUCGGAGGGAAGCCAGAAGUACAAUGUGGCCCUUGACAAAAAGGACCGUUCUACAGUAAGGGAAGGAGCGUCCACAGUCCACACUCAGCUUUUGAUUGCAGUUCUUCAUUUGAUUCACGUGUACGAUCAGGACAUUACGUAUGGCCGACGUAUCGGCCUCAGCGUUUAACGCACCACCGGCAAAAACACACAAUGGGCGGGGUGUGCGGCUGCUUGUUCAGACCCCCCGCCGCACUACGUCCUCCGCCCACAUCCGAGGGAAUUCGACCCGGGGCCCUUUAGUUACAGGUCACGUUCUUGCCUGACACCCGCUGCCCAAAGUGGAAACUCCCUUUUUAUAGUACGGGACAUUGGACAAUGACCGAUUCCCGAACAUGUGAGUCCUUUUUAGUUGUUUGAAAAGGGAAAGCGUCUUUUUUCCUGUACUUGUUUUUGCAGGUGUCACGGCACCCUCUGACCCCUGUAUGACUUCUGUUCCUCUUUUACUGUUUUACCCUUCCCACAUGAGCCCUCAAAGAACAACAGGUGCCCGUUUCUGCCAGCACUUUGUGCAAAUGUGAUGAAAAAUACAGAAAUUGAUGGCA
Long non-coding RNA from Phyllopteryx taeniolatus (common seadragon), 876 nucleotides. RefSeq lists it as uncharacterized. The transcript has 3 exons. The record is from RefSeq and is a predicted model, not a curated record. Lineage: Eukaryota; Metazoa; Chordata; Actinopteri; Syngnathiformes; Syngnathidae.